GAUGAACGCUGACAGAAUGCUUAACACAUGCAAGUCUUUGGAGAAUCUGUGCUUGCUCAGGUUAGCAAAGGCGGACGGGUGAGUAACGCGUAAAGAACUUGCCCUGCAGACAGGGAUAACAGAAGGAAACGACUGAUAACACCUGAUACAAUUGUCGGCGCGAAUGUGUGUGGCAAUGAAAAGAGAUGCUGCAGGAGAGAUUUGCGUCCUAUUAGCUUGUUGGUGAGGUGACGGCUAACCAAGGCGGUGAUAGGUAGCUGGCCUGAGAGGGUGAACGGCCACAAGGGGACUGAGAUACAGCCCUUACGCCUACGGGAGGCAGCAGUGGGGAAUAUUGGACAAUGGGGGCGACCCUGAUCCAGCAAUUCUGUGUGCACGAAGAAGGUUUUCGGAUUGUAAAUUGCUUUCAGCAGGGAAGAAGAAAGUGACGGUACCUGCAGAAGAAGCGACGGCUAACUACGUG
This 463-nucleotide ribosomal RNA is filed under the name uncultured bacterium. Its description in RNAcentral is "partial 16S ribosomal RNA". It matches the Rfam family "Bacterial small subunit ribosomal RNA", at positions 28 to 507 of the family's 1533-position model. The record is from RNAcentral.